This 216-nucleotide unclassified non-coding RNA is filed under the name Hevea brasiliensis (rubber tree). The record is from RNAcentral. Lineage: Eukaryota; Viridiplantae; Streptophyta; Magnoliopsida; Malpighiales; Euphorbiaceae.
AUAUUUUCUAUCAUUAAAAUGAAGCUGUUUGAAUAUGCAUUAUCUGUUCAUAAAAGUUUGAAAUGACUAAUUCCAAAGUUAAUAAUAUUCAAUUAUCCUUAUAUGCUGCCUUUGCAUAGACGUUAGAUUAUCAUGAUUUUUGACAUUUUUUGUAACUUGUAUUAUGGCGUGGCCUUGACUUCAACCUUCCCUUCGGUUUAUGCAGGGAUCAUCAUA